This 266-nucleotide ribosomal RNA is filed under the name Klebsiella pneumoniae. Its description in RNAcentral is "partial 23S ribosomal RNA". It matches the Rfam family "Bacterial large subunit ribosomal RNA", at positions 1 to 258 of the family's 2925-position model. The record is from RNAcentral. Lineage: Bacteria; Pseudomonadati; Pseudomonadota; Gammaproteobacteria; Enterobacterales; Enterobacteriaceae.
GGGUUGUGAGGUUAAGCGACUAAGCGUACACGGUGGAUGCCCUGGCAGUCAGAGGCGAUGAAGGACGUGCUAAUCUGCGAAAAGCGUCGGUAAGGUGAUAUGAACCGUUACAGCCGGCGAUGUCCGAAUGGGGAAACCCAGUGCAAUUCGUUGCACUAUCGUUAACUGAAUACAUAGGUUAACGAGGCGAACCGGGGGAACUGAAACAUCUAAGUACCCCGAGGAAAAGAAAUCAACCGAGAUUCCCCCAGUAGCGGCGAGCGAAC